Molecule: ribosomal RNA, 479 nt
Filed under: uncultured bacterium
Lineage: Bacteria
Description: partial 16S ribosomal RNA
Rfam family: Bacterial small subunit ribosomal RNA
Source: RNAcentral
ACGAACGCUGGCGGCGCGCCUAACACAUGCCAGUCGAGCGAUGAAAUUUUAACCGAUCUCUUCGGAGAGAAGAUAAAAUGGAUUAGCGGCGGACGGGUGAGUAACACGUGAGAAACCUGCCUUUCACAAGGGGAUAGCCUCGGGAAACCGGGAUUAAUACCCUAUGACACAUUUCCUUCGCAUGGAAGAAAUGUUAAAACUCCGGUGGUGAAAGAUGGUCUCGCGCCUGAUUAGCUAGUUGGUGGGGUAACGGCCCACCAAGGCCAUGAUCAGUAACCGGCCUGAGAGGGUGAACGGUCACAUUGGAACUGAGACACGGUCCAAACUCCUACGGGAGGCAGCAGUGGGGAAUAUUGCACAAUGGAGGAAACUCUGAUGCAGCGACGCCGCGUGAGCGAUGAAGGCUUUCGAGUCGUAAAGCUCUGUCCUAUGGGAAGAUAAUGACGGUACCAUAGGAGGAAGCCCCGGCUAACUACGUG